RNAcentral lists this ribosomal RNA (285 nucleotides) under Campylobacter coli. RNAcentral describes it as "partial 23S ribosomal RNA". It matches the Rfam family "Bacterial large subunit ribosomal RNA", at positions 2638 to 2925 of the family's 2925-position model. Lineage: Bacteria; Pseudomonadati; Campylobacterota; Epsilonproteobacteria; Campylobacterales; Campylobacteraceae. The record is from RNAcentral.
CUAUCUGCCGUGGGCGUAAGAAGAUUGAAGAGAUUUGACCCUAGUACGAGAGGACCGGGUUGAACAAACCACUGGUGUAGCUGUUGUUCUGCCAAGAGCAUCGCAGCGUAGCUAAGUUUGGAAAGGAUAAACGCUGAAAGCAUCUAAGCGUGAAGCCAACUCUAAGAUGAAUCUUCUCUAAGCUCUCUAGAAGACUACUAGUUUGAUAGGCUGGGUGUGUAAUGGAUGAAAGUCCUUUAGCUGACCAGUACUAAUAGAGCGUUUGGCUUAUCUUUAAUAAAGCAU